UACGUAGGGGGCUAGCGUUGUCCGGAAUCAUUGGGCGUAAAGAGCGUGUAGGCGGUCCGGUAAGUCCGCUGUGAAAGUCGGGGGCUCAACCCUCGAAUGCCGGUGGAUACUGUCGGGCUAGAGUGCGGAAGAGGCGAGUGGAAUUCCUGGUGUAGCGGUGAAAUGCGCAGAUAUCAGGAGGAACACCUAUUGCGAAGGCAGCUCGCUGGGACGUUACUGACGCUGAGACGCGAAAGCGUCGGGAGCAAACAGG
RNAcentral lists this ribosomal RNA (253 nucleotides) under uncultured bacterium. RNAcentral describes it as "partial 16S ribosomal RNA". It matches the Rfam family "Bacterial small subunit ribosomal RNA", at positions 524 to 776 of the family's 1533-position model. The record is from RNAcentral.